AUGGGCCAGCAUUUCUCUCUUCAGUCUUUCCCUGUGACUGAAGUUUGGAGAUCUAUUAAAUCUCUCCUCCACCCCAGGUGCACGGUCGGGGGAGAGGCCAGGCCAGAGGUGAGACUCAAGAUGUUCCGGGGCAGGAGGACAUUUGUUGAGGGGACAAGGAAGCGAGCCCUCGGGACAGGGGAAGGCCCAGCGGGCACCAAUGGCGUCAGAUGCUUCUUGGAUGCCACGGAGACGUCAACUCUGAAGCUGAGCCAGGGAGGGCCCCACUGCUGGGGCUCUGGGGAGAGGGAACCAGCAUACAUACCCUGGCAGGGGGCGUGGGCUAGGAGCAGGCGACGCUCCUGCCCCUGCCGUGUGCUGGCUGCCAGCCCGCCAGCCUGUGUGGGUGGGUAUGUGUGCAUGCGUCUCCAAGUACACCUGUGCCGUGUGCCUGUGCACCUGUGCCCGUGUGUGUGUGUGCACCUGUGCUGUGUGUGCCUGUGCACCUGUGCCGAGUGCCUGUGCACCUGUGCCGUGUGUGCCUGUGCACCUGUGCCGUGUGCCUGUGCACCUGUGCCCGUGUGUGUGUGUGCACCUGUGCUGUGUGUGCCUGUGCACCUGUGCCGUGUGCCUGUGCACCUGUGCCCGUGUGUGCCUGUGCACCUGUGCCGUGUGUGCCUGUGCACCUGUGCCCGUGUGUGUGUGCACCUGUGCCCGUGUGUGCCUGUGCACCUGUGCCCGUGUGUGCCUGUGCACCUGUGCCGUGUGUGUGUGUGCACCUUGCCGUGUGCCUGUGCACCUGUGCUCGUGUGUGUGUGCACCUGUGCCAUGUGCCUGUGCACCUGUGCCGUGUGUGCCUGUGCACCUGUGCCCGUGUGUGUGUGCACCUGUGCCCGUGUGUGUGCACCUGUGCCGUGUGUGUGUGUGCACCUGUGCCCGUGUGUGUGCACCUGUGCCGUGUGUGUGUGUGCACCUGUGCCCGUGUGUGCCUGUGCACCUGUGCCCGUGUGUGUGUGCACCUGUGCCGUGUGCCUGUACACCUGUGCCCGUGUGUGUGUGCACCUGUGCCGUGUGCCUGUGCACCUGUGCCCGUGUGUGUGUGUGCACCUGUGCCGUGUGUGUGUGUGCACUUGCUCCUACUUGUGUACCUGUGUCCGUGCGAUUGUGCAUCUGUGUGCGAGUGUACCUGUGUGUUUGGGUACAGGCUCCGGCAGGUGCAGCAGCCACAGGUGUAACCCAAAUCACGAUGGAGGGGAGGUGCCCCUUGAACCUCCUUUCCCGUGCCCACUGCCUCCCAACCCCUGA
RNAcentral lists this long non-coding RNA (1284 nucleotides) under Oryctolagus cuniculus (rabbit). Its description in RNAcentral is "lncRNA (ENSOCUG00000034385.1)". The record is from RNAcentral. Lineage: Eukaryota; Metazoa; Chordata; Mammalia; Lagomorpha; Leporidae.